RNAcentral lists this ribosomal RNA (253 nucleotides) under uncultured bacterium. Its description in RNAcentral is "partial 16S ribosomal RNA". It matches the Rfam family "Bacterial small subunit ribosomal RNA", at positions 524 to 776 of the family's 1533-position model. The record is from RNAcentral.
UACGUAGGGUGCGAGCGUUAAUCGGAAUUACUGGGCGUAAAGCGUGCGCAGGCGGUUUUGUAAGCCAGAUGUGAAAUCCCCGGGCUUAACCUGGGAAUGGCAUUUGGGACUGCAAGGCUUGAGUGCGGCAGAGGAGACUGGAAUUCCCGGUGUAGCAGUGAAAUGCGUAGAUAUCGGGAGGAAUACCGAUGGCGAAGGCAGGUCUCUGGGCUGACACUGACGCUCAUGCACGAAAGCGUGAGGAGCAAACAGG